Long non-coding RNA from Gallus gallus (chicken), 1283 nucleotides. RefSeq lists it as uncharacterized. NCBI's taxonomy places the organism in Eukaryota, Metazoa, Chordata, Aves, Galliformes, Phasianidae. The record is from RefSeq and is a predicted model, not a curated record. The transcript is spliced from 2 exons.
CCUCAUGAGGGCAGAGUAGAGAGGGACAGUCAUCUCCCUGUCCCUGCUGGCCACCCCUCUUCUGAUGGAACCCAGGAUACUAUUGGUCUUCUGUACUCAUGUCCAGCUUUUCAUCCAGCAGGACCCCCAUGUUCUUCUUGCACCAUUUACUACUAUUCUAUUGACUACUAUUAUAGUACUUACAACUGCAUGUAACAAAAACGGAUGGAAAAAGUCGUACAAGUUAUAACAUUCUUAUCAAAGGCCCUUGAUUCUGCAGCAUCUGUGAAAAUGGUUAAAUGAAGCUAUAUUAUUUUUAAAAAUGUGACUGUUCUCUAUGCCAAAAUCAUUGGAAUUUUUUAAAUUUGGUUGGAUAAAAAAUAGAUUUUUUGAUUAUAAAGUGGGUGUUCAACAUAUGUAUUAAAAAGAAUCCUUUAAAAUCUAGUAUUAUGUAAUUCAGUGGUAAUUUGUAAUUCACAGACAUUAAGACCUCUACAGAAACACUGGUCUUAGUUUUAGAAUUUUCUGAGUGCUUAAGUAUGGAAUCUAGUAUUCAGUUGUCAUAAUUUUAUCCAGAAAAUGCUCUCUGAUAAAAAUUUAUUUUAAAUAUGCCUUUGAUGAUAAGAGUUAGAAAGCAGCUUUUUUCUGUCUGAAAAACAAAUGUCAAGGAAAUAGAUGAUGGGAUAGAAAUGCAGCAGUAUUCCAAUAUCUCUACAUAUUUUUGACUCAGUAGAACUUUGUACAAUUUGUACGCGAAUCUUGACAUUGUUUUCAUUUCACAUCAGCUUUAGCAGAAUGAACUUUACAUGAGAAAAGGAGGAUGUCAGUUAAUAAAAUACUAGUAUUUAUUUAUUUAUUUAUUUAUUUAUUUUAUUAUAACCAGAAGUAGGCUACAUAAAGGAGGAAUUUUGUCCGCACUGGACGAGUGUUGUGGUGACUGAAUUUUGUUGUUCCUGAAAUUUGUUGUUCCUAUGCUGGAGGAACCAAGACUGUUUGUGGGCUCCUGGAAGUGCGUGAUCCCAGGCUACGUCCUAAGUUCAGCUAUGUCAGCAAAGUUGGAGACAAUGGCAUGUGAACUGUUAUAAUUCACACCAAAAGAAAAGAAAGGACAAAAAGAAAAAGAAGGUACCAGAAGUUACAGAACCCAUCCCCAGUCCACCAAGAAAGGUUUAUCACAUUCUGUUUAUGGCUAAAACUGCACUGAAAUGUAUUUUCAAUUAGACACAGAUGUACACUGACAACAGUAUGAUGACAGUUCAAUUACCAUAAUACAUUCAACAUAGACUACACUUGUGAAUUUGUGA